UUGAAGCACCGCUCCAAAUUACAGUCCAAACGUCGAGGCAUCGCUCAGCUGCUUUAGUAAAAAGCUUCGAGUUAUCCAUUUGAAAAAUUCCGUUUCUCGAGACGGAAGCAUUUUCUCUAUUCAAACUCAUAACUACGAGUCGAUUCCGGAGCAAAAAAUCGGACAUUCUUCGCGCUACAUCCGCGUCCGAAUCCACUAAAUUUUAUUCACUCAACAAACUUUAUCAAAAUCUGGAAUCCCCGAUCUUCAAAUUUUCCGAAAGCAUUGAAAUUAUCCCUUUUAUCAGUUCGCCCAUUUUCUCGUCAUCAGAGUCCCAAAGUGAGUGUUUUCUAAUCACUUUCCCACUGUCAAUCCUCGACAACACGAACGACGGGUUACUUGACUCCAUCGUCCGGAGAGUCAUUGUCACAUCUAACGAAGUUCCUUGAGCGCAGCUCAUCCGGAGUGUCGAGACUCGGUACCGGAUCUAAUUAACCAGUGACACGGUGAACGAAGGAUUGAUUCAGAUUCCCUCGUCCGCAUACUUUAUUGAGGAAAAGCACACUCGCUUUUGAACCAGCAGAUUAAAAAAUGGAGGUAAAAAACGUGUGACGAAGAGAAGUGCGAUGGAAUCAUUAGCGAGUCGUGGACAGCUGAGAACUAUUUUUAACGUUGCAUAUUAAGCAAGUUGCCGCUCGCGGUGAUUGCCUAUUACGCAGGUAUCAAGUGACAUAAGAUCCUGCCGAGUGUCUUAGGUGCGCGCGUGCUUCGUUCAUUCCCCAGACACUUUUCUCAUCCGGGGUGCCAGGACCCGUGGCCAGAAGCACGUCUUCGUCCGCCUCCCGCCUCGGUCCCUCGCUUCUCUGCGGCACUACCGAGGACCUCGGGAACCUGGCACUUUUCCCUGUCUCUUAUAACAUCCGCCAACAUAUUCUGCGAGGUAUUUUCAUUCGAGUGGGCGGCCGAUUGAACGUGGAUUCUUCGUUCCUCAUCCCAGAGCGAUUAAAAUUUUGGGCAAUUCGUCGGAUUCGUAUUGUUUUGAAAAAGUGUUAGAAUUUUCUGGCAGCACCGCACCAGGGGUCAAAAUGUCACAGCUUCGUGCCCCGGAUUAUUUUGGAGGCGAAAGGAUUGGAGCGCACACGCGGAGUGGGGUUAGCACGCGAACGAGUUCGCCUGGAAGUAAUGAAACGAUAAUUGAAUUUUUUUGUGGAAGAAAUCCGCCAUCUCGAAAUGUCUCGAGCGGAGACGCGCUGCAGACGGCAGCUGAGAAUCCGCUGGAUGAACUUUUCCGUAUCGAGGACGUUCCCGCGAUCCUCAUUCUUGCGAAAGAACAUCUCGGUGGCUGGGCUCGCCGUCUUAUUAUACAUAUGUUGAAGCCCCGUCCGGGGCUUUUCUCUCACAACGCGUGAUAUUCACUCGCACAUAAACGUCCGAGAGUUCACACACUGUAACUCUUCGUAAGCGGGAUCGGAAGAGCGAGUGCGGCGAAAGAGAAUGGGGGGAUGGAAAGGAGAAGCGGCGAAGAGAAACGAGGAGGGAAUAAAGCUAUUUUUUCAUUCCGUAAAUUAAUCGUCGUUGCGGCAUCAAUGCGCCGAGAUUUAUUGACCCAAUUAUUAUGGACUAUAAAGCUCUCGACGCGCUCUUGCGGACAACCGACAAUUUCCUCUUUCUUAAAAAUCGAUGGAACUUGCUUUACUCGAGAGCUAUUCCAUUUAUAUUGUGUGUAUAUAAGCGUGGGGUGUGCGGGGUAAAACGGAUCGCGACGGGACCUUUCGAGUGCUGAAAAAUCUUCGAUUCUCAAAAUUCUUCGAGCGACAUUUUUUCAAUCAAUAUUACUGCGAUCAAGGCCGUUACAUUUCUGGCGUUCCCUUGUUCACGAUUUCGGGGCAGCCCAUCCUGCCCCGGUGUCCCAUUUUACCCCGAUGUCUCCUCCUCGUCCCGUGGCUUAGACACCGUCUCAAGCGUGUACACAUGUAUUCGAGGAAGUCGAUAAGCCUGAGGCACUUUCCCAAGUACCACACGUAAAAGCUCAUGCAAAUAUAAUAAUAAUACCCGUUAUCUUGAAGUGAAUUUACCUAAUUCACCGUAAAAGUUAAAUGAUCACAUGUCAGUAUCCGAUGUACAGCCUCAGCGCCACGGACGCACACGACACCGACGUGUGCAUUUAUUUUGUGCAUAGGAGCAUUGGUUAACCGUACACAAGUUUCACUCGUGAUUUACACGGCCAAUCAUGGUCGACCUAAAACAACAAAUAGAGGGGAAAAAAAGGAGAGGAAAAAGAAAAGAAACGAGCAGAUCUCUUAGCGAAACCGACAAUUUUCAUCAUCGCAAAAUGGUAUUUGAAUAAUAUCCGUGCGAAACCGAAUGCCGAAGCCCGGAGGCCACGAUAUCUCGUGCGUUGUUCGAUGACGUGGCCGCCUCUAUCCCCGAGUGCAUUUCUCAUUGGGUUCGGUAUGCUUUAUUCGGACUUGGGUAUUCUGAGCUUUUUCAAACUGCGUCAAUACUCGAGUCAAACCUGCAGAGGCCGGGGAGCAAAAUCGCAGCCAUACUUCACAGUUCUCGCAAAACGUACGUUUCAUUUCUCAACGCUAUUGACAUAGCUAAGAAAUUCGACUGGAGCCGAAUUAUCUUAUGGCAAUUAUCGAGGGCGGAAGGAAACUGCAGGAAACCUUGCCGAUACGCGGCUGGUACCUGGCCGGCUUUUUCAGGUGGCGGGCGAACGCAGAUUCGGCCACAGAUUCGCGAAGGGUGUCCUUGGAGGUUGGAUCAUUUCGUGUGCUCACACAGCUGGUACAACAUCAAGGACCAAAUUCCCUUUCUGAAGCUGCAUCCUUGUGACAUACGUCCAUUCGUCACGGUCGAUUCGACGUAAAAAAAGCUCAGACUCGUUCAUAUACGGUGGAGCGAAUGCAGGUUUGAGCCCGACGACCUUUGUACUUGCUUCUUCCACUUUUUCGUCAAAUUUCUAUCAGCUGGACUCUAAUCAUCGAAUGUAGCUCUGUAAUCUCAUAUUGCAGGAUUCGUUAUUUUGGGAUCACAAAAAAAAGUUGUUCCGCAGCAUCAAAAAUAAUUCGGGUACGAACAUUUCCUUUUGGGAGCCAUCAACGAUCUUCCAAGUCCGAAAAUAUAUAUCACUGUGAACUUUGGAGACACUCUGUAUAUUUUUUGG
This 3148-nucleotide long non-coding RNA is filed under the name Venturia canescens. RNAcentral's name for it is "uncharacterized LOC122406608". Lineage: Eukaryota; Metazoa; Arthropoda; Insecta; Hymenoptera; Ichneumonidae. The record is from RNAcentral.